ACGCUCGACACCUACGGAGGCAGCAGUCGGGAAUAUUGCGCAAUGGAGGAAACUCUGACGCAGUGACGCCGCGUGCAGGAAGAAGGUUUUCGGAUUGUAAACUGCUUUAGACAGGGAAGAAAGAAAUGACAGUACCUGUAGAAUAAGCUCCGGCUAACUACGUGCCAGCAGCCGCGGUAAUCUGAGCGGGCUGGCAAGGC
RNAcentral lists this ribosomal RNA (200 nucleotides) under uncultured bacterium. RNAcentral's name for it is "partial 16S ribosomal RNA". It matches the Rfam family "Bacterial small subunit ribosomal RNA", at positions 328 to 539 of the family's 1533-position model. The record is from RNAcentral.